GCCCUUGAGGCGCUGCCUGAGGGGCGGCCGGGCGGGCCGGUUCGCCGUGACGGGACGCGGAAGGGGCUCCAACUCCGCGUUCUGCCCCGUCUGAGGAGUUCUGGCUCUCUGAGGGGAGCGUUUCGCCCAGGACGUGAAAGCGUGAGAAACGGAGGCAGCACCGCGGGCCUCGACGCAGAGGAAGGUAAAGCCUGAAGAACCAGUCCCAGCCUCGGGCCAGCUGUGAUGCGACCACGUCGAUAAAUCAGGGCUUGGAGGAAGAAAACCAUCACCAUCUACAGUACGGGUAACAGAAGAACAAAGAGCUGACAUUGCAGCGAGGAUCCUUCAGGAAGCUUGUGGGAAAGCACCUUUCGCCUCUGACGUAGCAUGUGAAAAUACAGCUGGGGAAAGACUGAAGA
Gallus gallus (chicken) is the source of this 401-nucleotide long non-coding RNA. RefSeq lists it as uncharacterized. The record is from RefSeq and is a predicted model, not a curated record. Lineage: Eukaryota; Metazoa; Chordata; Aves; Galliformes; Phasianidae. The transcript is spliced from 3 exons.